AGGCGAUCGACGUUAAUGAAGCAAAUCCAUAAUUGCCAAUGAUGAGCAAUUCGCUAUCGCCGCCUAAUAACGGCUAGCUGGGGCCGCUGAAGCCUUAUUACCCAAGACAGCCGGCGGGGACUUCGGUCCCCGCCGUCA
This 138-nucleotide transfer-messenger RNA is filed under the name Dechloromonas sp. RNAcentral's name for it is "partial transfer-messenger RNA". It matches the Rfam family "Betaproteobacteria transfer-messenger RNA", at positions 193 to 331 of the family's 331-position model. From Rfam's summary of the family: Bacterial tmRNA, also known as 10Sa RNA or SsrA, is named for its dual tRNA and mRNA-like properties. Lineage: Bacteria; Pseudomonadati; Pseudomonadota; Betaproteobacteria; Rhodocyclales; Azonexaceae. The record is from RNAcentral.